Molecule: ribosomal RNA, 935 nt
Filed under: Candidatus Phytoplasma asteris-related phytoplasma
Lineage: Bacteria; Bacillati; Mycoplasmatota; Mollicutes; Acholeplasmatales; Acholeplasmataceae
Description: bacterial SSU rRNA
Rfam family: Bacterial small subunit ribosomal RNA
Source: RNAcentral
GCUUAGGGAGGAGCUUGCGUCACAUUAGUUANUUGNUGGGGUAAAGGCNUACCAAGACUAUGAUGUGUAGCCGGGCUGAGAGGUUGAACGGCCACAUUGGGACUGAGACACGGCCCAAACUCCUACGGGAGGCAGCAGUAGGGAAUUUUCGGCAAUGGAGGAAACUCUGACCGAGCAACGCCGCGUGAACGAUGAAGUAUUUCGGUACGUAAAGUUCUUUUAUUAGGGAAGAAUAAAUGAUGGAAAAAUCAUUCUGACGGUACCUAAUGAAUAAGCCCCGGCUAACUAUGUGCCAGCAGCCGCGGUAAUACAUAGGGGGCAAGCGUUAUCCGGAAUUAUUGGGCGUAAAGGGUGCGUAGGCGGUUAAAUAAGUUUAUGGUCUAAGUGCAAUGCUUAACAUUGUGAUGCUAUAAAAACUGUUUANCUAGAGUAAGAUAGAGGCAAGUGGAAUUCCAUGUGUAGUGGUAAAAUGCGUAAAUAUAUGGAGGAACACCAGUAGCGAAGGCGGCUUGCUGGGUCUUUACUGACGCUGAGGCACGAAAGCGUGGGGAGCAAACAGGAUUAGAUACCCUGGUAGUCCACGCCGUAAACGAUGAGUACUAAAUGUUGGGUAAAACCAGUGUUGAAGUUAACACAUUAAGUACUCCGCCUGAGUAGUACGUACGCAAGUAUGAAACUUAAAGGAAUUGACGGGACUCCGCACAAGCGGUGGAUCAUGUUGUUUAAUUCGAAGGUACCCGAAAAACCUCACCAGGUCUUGACAUGCUUCUGCAAAGCUGUAGAAACACAGUGGAGGUUAUCAGUUGCACAGGUGGUGCAUGGUUGUCGUCAGCUCGUGUCGUGAGAUGUUGGGUUAAGUCCCGCAACGAGCGCAACCCUUAUUGUUAGUUGCCAGCACGUAAUGGUGGGGACUUUAGCAAGACUGCCAGUGAUAA